This 163-nucleotide unclassified non-coding RNA is filed under the name uncultured Clavariaceae. RNAcentral's name for it is "sequence contains ITS1". Lineage: Eukaryota; Fungi; Basidiomycota; Agaricomycetes; Agaricales; Clavariaceae. The record is from RNAcentral.
UCGAAUGCAAUAUGGGGAUGUUGCUGGCUUUAUGCAAGUGCACUCCUCUAUUCCAUACAUCCACCUGUGCACAUGAAGUAGGCAUAUAGAUUGAGUUCUGUUGCCUAUGCUUUUUCUUAUUCACACCUGUGAAAGAUUGUAUUAUGUUCAUAAAUAAAUAUGA